UACGUAGGGUGCGAGCGUUAAUCGGAAUUACUGGGCGUAAAGGGUGCGCAGGCGGAUAUGUAAGUUAGAUGUGAAAUCCCCGAGCUUAACUUGGGAACAGCAUUUAAGACUGCAUGUCUAGAGUUUGUCAGAGGGGGGUAGAAUUCCAAGUGUAGCAGUGAAAUGCGUAGAGAUUUGGAGGAAUACCGGUGGCGAAGGCGACCCCCUGGGAUAAAACUGACGCUCAUGCACGAAAGCGUGGGGAGCAAACAGG
RNAcentral lists this ribosomal RNA (253 nucleotides) under uncultured bacterium. RNAcentral describes it as "partial 16S ribosomal RNA". It matches the Rfam family "Bacterial small subunit ribosomal RNA", at positions 524 to 776 of the family's 1533-position model. The record is from RNAcentral.